GACGAACGCUGGCGGCGUGCUUAACACAUGCAAGUCGAGCGGUAAGGCCCUUUCGGGGGUACACGAGCGGCGAACGGGUGAGUAACACGUGGGUGACCUGCCCUCAGCUCUGGGAUAAGCCUGGGAAACCGGGUCUAAUACUGGAUAUGACUCCAUGACGCAUGUUGUGGGGUGGAAAGCCUUGUGCGGCUGAGGAUGGGCCCGCGGCCUAUCAGCUUGUUGGUGGGGUGANGGCCUACCAAGGCGACGACGGGUAGCCGGCCUGAGAGGGCGACCGGCCACACUGGGACUGAGACACGGCCCAGACUCCUACGGGAGGCAGCAGUGGGGAAUCUUGCGCAAUGGGCGAAAGCCUGACGACGCAACGCCGCGUGGAGGAUGAAGAAUUUCGGUUCGUAAACUCCUUUCGACCGAGAUGAAUACCCAUGGACUUAAUACGUCUGUGGACUGACAGUAUCGAGAGAAGAA
This 468-nucleotide ribosomal RNA is filed under the name uncultured bacterium. Its description in RNAcentral is "bacterial SSU rRNA". It matches the Rfam family "Bacterial small subunit ribosomal RNA", at positions 28 to 489 of the family's 1533-position model. The record is from RNAcentral.